Molecule: microRNA precursor, 127 nt
Filed under: Myotis davidii
Lineage: Eukaryota; Metazoa; Chordata; Mammalia; Chiroptera; Vespertilionidae
Description: mir-9193 microRNA precursor family
Rfam family: mir-9193 microRNA precursor family
Source: Rfam by way of RNAcentral
CAUGCACUGAUGGGGUCUCUUAGCCUGGCCUGUACCCUCUCGCAAUCCGGGACCCUUUGAGGAAUGUUGGAGAGCUGGUUUCAGCCUGAUCCCUGCAGGCCAGGCUAAGGGACCCCACCAGUGCACA